Molecule: ribosomal RNA, 214 nt
Filed under: uncultured bacterium
Lineage: Bacteria
Description: partial 16S ribosomal RNA
Rfam family: Bacterial small subunit ribosomal RNA
Source: RNAcentral
UCAGUUCGGAUCGCAGGCUGCAACCCGCCUGCGUGAAGUCGGAAUCGCUAGUAAUCGCGGAUCAGCAUGCCGCGGUGAAUACGUUCCCGGGCCUUGUACACACCGCCCGUCACACCAUGAGAGUCGGGAACACCCGAAGUCCGUAGCCUGACCGCGAAGGGGGGCGCGGCCGAAGGUGGGUUCGAUAAUUGGGGUGAAGUCGUAACAAGGUAUC